RNAcentral lists this ribosomal RNA (1200 nucleotides) under uncultured bacterium. Its description in RNAcentral is "partial 16S ribosomal RNA". It matches the Rfam family "Bacterial small subunit ribosomal RNA", at positions 190 to 1384 of the family's 1533-position model. The record is from RNAcentral.
UCGUAUUAAGAUUAAAGAUUUCGAAUCGGUAAGGGAUGAGUCUGCGUACCAUUAGCUAGUUGGUAGGGUAAUGGCCUACCAAGGCAUCGAUGGUUAACUGGUCUGAGAGGAUGAUCAGCCACACUGGGACUGAGAUACGGCCCAGACUCCUACGGGAGGCAGCAGUGAGGAAUAUUGCACAAUGGGGGCAACCCUGAUGCAGCAACGCCGCGUGUACGAUGAAUCAGUUUAUCUGUGUAAAGUACUGUUAAUUGGGACGAAUUAUAGGGUUUGUAGCCUUAUUUGACUGUACCAGUAGAGGAAGCUCCGGCUAACUCCGUGCCAGCAGCCGCGGUAAUACGGGGGGAGCGAGCGUUGUCCGGAUUUAUUGGGCGUAAAGGGUAUGUAGGUGGAAAAAUCAGUCAGUUGUUAAAUGAUACGGCUUAACCGUGUUUUGCAAUUGAUACUGUUUUUCUUGAGUACGAGAGGGGACGGUGGAAUAUUUAGUGUAGCGGUGGAAUGCGUAGAUAUUAAAUAGAACACCUGAGGCGAAGGCGACUGUCUGGCUCGUAACUGACACUGAAAUACGAAAGUAUGGGUAGCAAACAGGAUUAGAUACCCUGGUAGUCCAUACCCGUAAACGAUGGAUACUAGGUGUCGGAGGUUUAACCCCUUCGGUGCCGUAGCUAACGCGUUAAGUAUCCCGCCUGGGGAGUACGAUCGCAAGGUUGAAACUCAAAGGAAUUGACGGGGGCCCGCACAAGCGGUGGAGCAUGUGGUUUAAUUCGAUGCAACGCGAAGAACCUUACCUGGGCUUGAACUGUAUAUGCUCGCUAUAGAGAUAUAGUUUUUCCUUCACGGGAACAUAUAUAGAGGUGCUGCAUGGCUGUCGUCAGCUCGUGUCGUGAGAUGUUGGGUUAAGUCCCGCAACGAGCGCAACCCUUAUCGCUAAUUACCAUCGAGUAAUGUCGGGGACUUUAGCGAGACUGCCCGGGUUAACCGGGAGGAAGGUGGGGAUGACGUCAAGUCCUCAUGGCCCUUAUGUCCAGGGCUACACACGUGCUACAAUGGUCGGUACAGAGUGUCGCUACAAUGUGAGUUGAUGCUAAUCACUAAACCCGAUCUCAGUUCGGAUUGCAGUCUGCAACUCGACUGCAUGAAGUUGGAAUCGCUAGUAAUCGUGGAUCAGCAUGCCACGGUGAAUACGUUCCCGGGCCUUGU